This 425-nucleotide ribosomal RNA is filed under the name uncultured bacterium. RNAcentral describes it as "bacterial SSU rRNA". It matches the Rfam family "Bacterial small subunit ribosomal RNA", at positions 359 to 776 of the family's 1533-position model. The record is from RNAcentral.
GAAUCUUGGGCAAUGGGCGCAAGCCUGACCCAGCCAUGCCGCGUGUGUGAAGAAGGCCCUCGGGUUGUAAAGCACUUUCAGUAGUGAAGAAAAGCGCGAGGCCAAUACCCUCGAGUCUUGGCGUUAGCUACAGAAGAAGCACCGGCUAACUCCGGGCCAGCAGCCGCGGUGAUACGGACGGUGCGAACGUUAAUCGGAAUUACUGGGCGUAAAGCGCACGUAGGCGGUCCGCUAAGUGGGAUGUGAAAGCCCUGGGCUUAACCUGGGAAUGGCAUUUCAGACUGGCGGACUAGAGUACAGUAGAGGGCGGUGGAAUUCCCUGUGUAGCGGUGAAAUGCGUAGAUAUAGGGAGGAACAUCAGUGGCGAAGGCGGCCGCCUGGACUGAUACUGACGCUGAGGUGCGAAAGCGUGGGGAGCAAACAGG